UGGACGAUGACGGCCUUCGGGUUGUAAACUCCUGUCAUUUGGGAACAGGUUGCAUUGGUUAACCGCCGGUGCAUUGAUAGUACCAGAAGAGGAAGAGACGGCUAACUCUGUGCCAGCAGCCGCGGUAAUACAGAGGUCUCAAGCGUUGUUCGGAUUCAUUGGGCGUAAAGGGUGCGUAGGUGGCGCUGUAAGUCAGGUGUGAAAUUUCGGAGCUUAACUCCGAAACUGCAUUUGAUACUGCGGUGCUUGAGGACUGGAGAGGAGACUGGAAUUCACGGUGUAGCAGUGAAAUGCGUAGAGAUCGUGAGGAAGACCAGUGGCGAAGGCGGGUCUCUGGACAGUUCCUGACACUGAGGCACGAAGGCCAGGGGAGCAAACGGGAUUAGAUACCCCGGUAGUCCUGGCAGUAAACGGUGCACGUUUGGUGUGGGAGGAUUCGACCCCUUCUGCGCCGGAGCUAACGCGUUAAACGUGCCGCCUGGGGAGUACGGUCGCAAGAUUA
RNAcentral lists this ribosomal RNA (502 nucleotides) under uncultured Verrucomicrobiota bacterium. RNAcentral describes it as "bacterial SSU rRNA". It matches the Rfam family "Bacterial small subunit ribosomal RNA", at positions 402 to 896 of the family's 1533-position model. Lineage: Bacteria; Pseudomonadati; Verrucomicrobiota. The record is from RNAcentral.